CCUACGGGUGGCAGCAGUGAGGAAUAUUGGUCAAUGGCCGCAGGGCUGAACCAGCCACGUCGCGUGAGGGAUGACGGUCCUAUGGAUUGUAAACCUCUUUUGUCAGGGAGCAAAGGGCGCCACGUGUGGCGUUUUGCGAGUACCUGAAGAAAUAGCAUCGUCUAACUCCGUGCCAGCAGCCGCGGUACUAGGGGGGAUGCGAGCUUUAUCCUGUUUUAGUGGGUUUAAGGGGUGCGGAGGCGGAAUGUCAAGUUAGCGGUAAAAUUUCGGGGCUCAACCCCGUCGUGCCGUUGAAACUGGUGUUCUUGAGUGAGCGAGAAGUAUGCGGAAUGCGAGGUGUAGCGGUGAAAUGCAUAGAUAUCACGCAGAACUCCGGUGGCGAAGGCAGCAUACCGGCGCGCAACUGACGCUCAUGCACGAAAGCGUGGGUAUCGAACAGGAUUAGAUACCCUGGUAGUC
This 459-nucleotide ribosomal RNA is filed under the name uncultured bacterium. Its description in RNAcentral is "partial 16S ribosomal RNA". It matches the Rfam family "Bacterial small subunit ribosomal RNA", at positions 338 to 795 of the family's 1533-position model. The record is from RNAcentral.